This is a small nuclear RNA of Callithrix jacchus (white-tufted-ear marmoset), 106 nucleotides long. NCBI's taxonomy places the organism in Eukaryota, Metazoa, Chordata, Mammalia, Primates, Cebidae. The record is from Ensembl.
GUGCUCGCCUUGGCAGCACAUAUACUAAAAUUAGAACAAUAUAGAGAAGAUUAGCAUGGCCCUGUGCACAGAUGACAUGUAAAUUCAUGAAGCAUUCCAUAUUUUU